UGAAUAUUCAGUUUUUUGAAUAGUUUUAGAAAAAUUAAUCUGUCCCCAUUUAUUGACUUACAAAUGAUUUGUUCAUAUAUACACGUCUGUAUUUAUGCUGUUUUCUUUUUUCAUUGGUUUAUUCCUCUGUCUCUGUGCAAAUGCAACACUUUCUUAGUUGCUAACAGACUUCAUUUAAUACCAUAUUUUGUGACCAUUCUCCUAAUGACUGUGCUUUUCCAUAAUGAAGUGAAAAAAGAUUAAAAAUCUCCAUGCCUUUCACGUACACCGAUACUCUCAGCUGGUCUUUGAAUCAAUCAGUGGCUUUAGAGUUUCAGAAUAUCAUUGUUGUCUCUUAUGUCUGUAAUGUCUUUGUUAAUCUUAUAAGAUCCAUGAACACCACUCUUCAGUUUGUGUAUUUCAUACCUUCAACAACAGCAAGUGGUGGGAAAACCUGGAGAUGCAGCCCCGGGUGCCUCCUGCCUUGCUGUAGAAGAUGCUGUGGACAUGGGUCUCCUCCUCCAGACAAUGCACAUCAAAGGCAGGACCAGCAGGGAGCCCUGAGAUCAGAACCUCUCUGUGGGGUCUGCAUGCACAAGGGGAGGAGCUCCCUGUUGGGUGGGGUGGGGA
RNAcentral lists this long non-coding RNA (609 nucleotides) under Homo sapiens (human). Its description in RNAcentral is "HSALNT0217466". The record is from RNAcentral. Lineage: Eukaryota; Metazoa; Chordata; Mammalia; Primates; Hominidae.